AAUCCUUCCUCCAGGGAUGUGUUGGAUCCGAAAGAACCAGUCCAAGCUCUAAACGAAUCUUAAAAUACAAGUAAUAAAUUAUAUUUUUGGUUUCAAGGUUAUCAAUCUGCAACGAUUAAAAUAUCUUCAGCAUUAACAGCUGAAUUAGUUUGCAGGAAGUGGUGACAUGAUCAGGGUUUUGAGAGUUUACAGCAAUGGGAUAGCACAAACUGAUGAGUGCAGGCAUAAAACAUCUCAACCAAAAUAAGACUUAGAUCUAGGCAAAAUAAUCCAUCUGGUCACUGAUAACUCUAUGACACACCCAAUAGAAGGCAUAUCGAUGAAGUUUGUUA
Molecule: unclassified non-coding RNA, 332 nt
Filed under: Hevea brasiliensis (rubber tree)
Lineage: Eukaryota; Viridiplantae; Streptophyta; Magnoliopsida; Malpighiales; Euphorbiaceae
Source: RNAcentral